AAUUUCGAAAUUCCAGCACGGCGGCUCCGCCGUGCUCCGGCGACGGCGGCUCCGCUGUGCGGCGGUGAUCCGCCUCGAAUUGACUGUUUUCGGCCGAAUUCAGUCAAACUUGCAUCGGUUCCUGUGAGAAAACAUAUUUAGGGCCCUCGGUGGGCCUAAAAACACAAAAAAUCGAAACUUAUCGACGGUGAGGCUCUCCGAUGCGGCGGCUCCUUCGGCUCACGUCACGGUUUGAUUUUUUGCUCCAGUCAACCUGUAGAGGAGGGAACGGUGAUCACAAAGGUGGAAAAAUCACGUCGAACAGGAAUCGGAAAGGGCCUCGUUGGAGGCAAAAAUCAAGACACCCCGCGACGGCGCCCCUGGGCUUCGGCAGCAUUUUCUGGCCAAUUAGCUGGUGUUUUCGCUCCGAUUUUGCCAUAGGUGGGUUUAAAAUUUAAUUCUGAGCAAAUGGUAGAAUUUUUACCUCAUUUGGCAGCCGAAAAUUACUUCGGUGCGGCGGCGGGAACUCCCCGGCGGCUGGGUUGUCUUCUCCGGCGAUGGGCUCUGGCGGCUAGGGUUUGGAUUUGGGUGCGGAUGAGAUUAUUUAUAACCAUCCACUUUUAAUCUGAGCCGUCCAUCGCAUUUAAUCUAGACCGUUCGAUCGCGAUUAAAUAGGAAAUGAAUCUAGGUCGUUCAUCGAGAUUCAAUCUGGGCCAUCCAUGCGCAAUUCAAUCUGGGUUGUCCGUGCGCGAUGCAAUCUGGGCCGCCCGUGCGUGUUUUUGAUCUGGGCUAUCAGUGAGCGCAGAAACGGAUCUCAGCCGUUCGAUCGCGCGCACGCGGAUCGCCCACGUGGCUUC
Molecule: long non-coding RNA, 836 nt
Filed under: Carica papaya (papaya)
Lineage: Eukaryota; Viridiplantae; Streptophyta; Magnoliopsida; Brassicales; Caricaceae
Description: long non-coding RNA (CPAP_LNC007546)
Source: RNAcentral